GAUGAACGCUGGCGGCGUGCCUAAUACAUGCAAGUCGAGCGAACAGACGAGGAGCUUGCUCCUCUGACGUUAGCGGCGGACGGGUGAGUAACACGUGGAUAACCUACCUAUAAGACUGGGAUAACUUCGGGAAACCGGAGCUAAUACCGGAUAAUAUAUUGAACCGCAUGGUUCAAUAGUGAAAGACGGUUUUGCUGUCACUUAUAGAUGGAUCCGCGCCGCAUUAGCUAGUUGGUAAGGUAACGGCUUACCAAGGCAACGAUGCGUAGCCGACCUGAAAGGGUCGUCCACCACACUGGAACUGAGACACGUUCCAGACACCGACGGGAGGCAGCAGUAGAGAAUCUUCCGCGAUGCGCCAAAGCCUGACGGAGCAACACCGCGUGAAUGAUGAAGGACUUCGGAUCGGAAAGCUCUGUUAUUAGGGAAGAACAAAUGUGUAAGUAACUAUGCACGUCUUGACGGUACCUAAUCAGAAAGCCACGGCUAACUACGUG
Molecule: ribosomal RNA, 497 nt
Filed under: uncultured bacterium
Lineage: Bacteria
Description: partial 16S ribosomal RNA
Rfam family: Bacterial small subunit ribosomal RNA
Source: RNAcentral